AGAGUUUGAUCCUGGCUCAGGACGAACGCUGGCGGCGUGCCUAAUACAUGCAAGUAGAACGCUGAAGAGAGGAGCUUGCUCUUCUUGGAUGAGUUGCGAACGGGUGAGUAACGCGUAGGUAACCUGCCUUGUAGCGGGGGAUAACUAUUGGAAACGAUAGCUAAUACCGCAUAACAAUGGAUGACCCAUGUCAUUUAUUUGAAAGGGGCAAAUGCUCCACUACAAGAUGGACCUGCGUUGUAUUAGCUAGUAGGUGAGGUAACGGCUCACCUAGGCGACGAUACAUAGCCGACCUGAGAGGGUGAUCGGCCACACUGGGACUGAGACACGGCCCAGACUCCUACGGGAGGCAGCAGUAGGGAAUCUUCGGCAAUGGGGGCAACCCUGACCGAGCAACGCCGCGUGAGUGAAGAAGGUUUUCGGAUCGUAAAGCUCUGUUGUAAGUCAAGAACGAGUGUGAGAGUGGAAAGUUCACACUGUGACGGUAGCUUACCAGAAAGGGACGGCUAACUACGUGCCAGCAGCCGCGGUAAUACGUAGGUCCCGAGCGUUGUCCGGAUUUAUUGGGCGUAAAGCGAGCGCAGGCGGUUUGAUAAGUCUGAAGUUAAAGGCUGUGGCUCAACCAUAGUUCGCUUUGGAAACUGUCAAACUUGAGUGCAGAAGGGGAGAGUGGAAUUCCAUGUGUAGCGGUGAAAUGCGUAGAUAUAUGGAGGAACACCGGUGGCGAAAGCGGCUCUCUGGUCUGUAACUGACGCUGAGGCUCGAAAGCGUGGGGAGCGAACAGGAUUAGAUACCCUGGUAGUCCACGCCGUAAACGAUGAGUGCUAGGUGUUGGAUCCUUUCCGGGAUUCAGUGCCGCAGCUAACGCAUUAAGCACUCCGCCUGGGGAAUACGACCGCAAGGUUGAAACUCAAAGGAAUUGACGGGGGCCCGCACAAGCGGUGGAGCAUGUGGUUUAAUUCGAAGCAACGCGAAGAACCUUACCAGGUCUUGACAUCCCGAUGCUAUUUCUAGAGAUAGAAAGUUACUUCGGUACAUCGGUGACAGGUGGUGCAUGGUUGUCGUCAGCUCGUGUCGUGAGAUGUUGGGUUAAGUCCCGCAACGAGCGCAACCCCUAUUGUUAGUUGCCAUCAUUCAGUUGGGCACUCUAGCGAGACUGCCGGUAAUAAACCGGAGGAAGGUGGGGAUGACGUCAAAUCAUCAUGCCCCUUAUGACCUGGGCUACACACGUGCUACAAUGGUUGGUACAACGAGUUACGAGUCGGUGACGGCAAGCUAAUCUCUUAAAGCCAAUCUCAGUUCGGAUUGUAGGCUGCAACUCGCCUACAUGAAGUCGGAAUCGCUAGUAAUCGCGGAUCAGCACGCCGCGGUGAAUACGUUCCCGGGCCUUGUACACACCGCCCGUCACACCACGAGAGUUUGUAACACCCGAAGUCGGUGAGGUAACCUUUUGGAGCCAGCCGCCUAAGGUGGGAUAGAUGAUUGGGGUGAAGUCGUAACAAGGUA
RNAcentral lists this ribosomal RNA (1506 nucleotides) under metagenome. RNAcentral's name for it is "bacterial SSU rRNA". It matches the Rfam family "Bacterial small subunit ribosomal RNA". The record is from RNAcentral.